CAAAAUAUAGUUUAAAUAAAAUUAUUUAUUUACAUUAGAUGGAUAUUUCAUAUUAUUUUGA
Molecule: transfer RNA, 61 nt
Filed under: Archipsocus nomas
Lineage: Eukaryota; Metazoa; Arthropoda; Insecta; Psocodea; Archipsocidae
Description: tRNA-Val
Source: RNAcentral